This is a long non-coding RNA of Lytechinus pictus (painted urchin), 1584 nucleotides long. RefSeq lists it as uncharacterized. The transcript has 3 exons. The record is from RefSeq and is a predicted model, not a curated record. Lineage: Eukaryota; Metazoa; Echinodermata; Echinoidea; Temnopleuroida; Toxopneustidae.
GCGAAGUGUCGUUCUUUUUUACUCCGCGAAAUUCAACUUUUUGAAGUACAAUAGCAAGACUAAUUAACUGUUUAUAGAAUUAGUGUCCGGAAUCAUGAUUUCUGAGUGAAAUUCAGUUGAGCAGAAAAUCUUUGAGGGAACAUCUACAUCAAAGUAAUGGCAUUCCAUACAAAUUAAAAUCCAAUGGAAUCAAGUUCUUAGCAGUCCCAGCCCAGUCAGAAGUACAAAGUCAACUACCAUUUGCACAUCACCAAGAGUUACAAUCUGAUGAGGAACAGGAUAUCUGAACUAAAAACUUGCAAGGUUUUGCAGGCUGUUUGAGUAUCACCAUGGCAGAUUAAGAAGAAAUAUAUUGGCCAAGUUCAUAACAAGUAGUUACUUCAUCACAAUUACACAUUUUAAAAAUUGAAUGAAUUUGAAUAAAUGUGUCAAUACAUAUUGAAUGUUGCUUGAACUACACAUCUGUAGAAAAAAUAAUAACAUUGGAGCAUAAAUAUUUAAGUCCAUAGGUUUCACACAAUAUUAAAAUAUUUUCCCAAAGGGCACACCUACCCACCCUUUAUUAAAGUUCUAAUCAUCUAAAUGGAGUAGUAGUGAAAUAACUUGUAAUAUUACUAUUUUGAAAGGGAUAGGUUGCUUUCUGGUAAUAUAAUCAAUUCAGAAUGGGUCUUUACUGAGGUCUGGGCUAUGUAACAUACAUGCCUACAGACAUACAUAAGACAAUAAGAAAUAAUGGGUUUUCAUUGAAAAAUGUGCAUACUAAAACAGGUGACAGAACAAAGGACUAAGAAAUCACUCUCAUUCCUGGACCCCCUUUCAUUAAGACUAACCACUACCCUAACUUUGCCAUUCUAGUUACAAUUACCAUGGAAACAUUAAAGCAACAGAUCAACAUUGAGGUUAGUUGCUGGUUACAAUUGGGGCAAAUUUACAAUAAUUGAAGUCUUCAUAAAACAAGGACCCAGCUGUAGUGCUGGACAUUAAGCUGUUGAAUUUAUUUUUUGAGAAGUGAAAAGGGGCACUGUAUUGUCCAUGUCCCGUAUUAUGAACUAAAUUAGCUCUGCAAAUAAAAAAAAAUGUUGGAAAAAGAACACAGCACUUCACAACAAUAGACAAUAUGCAAUUUUGUUACUGAUUUACUAAUAUGCAGAUUUGGGAAGGCACUCUUUAGAGGAAUGUGGAAACAGGCUCCCCUUUCUUGUGAAGUGCCCCCAGUUAGAUAAGCAUGCUAUUUCUUGUCAGCAAAUGCUGAAAAAAUUACUUGAUAUUUGAGGAACCGACUUUGAGAGAGAGGUAUAUUAAUCUUUUUUAAUGACAUCCUUCAUGCCCCAUUAUAUUGACUAUAUAAGGCUUAUCAAUACCUGUGAAAGUGAAUAUACGUACUUAUUUUUUUAUUUCUUUUUUUCUCUAGAUUUUACCCAAAAAUACAUCCAUUCCCUUGUAACAACCUUGCAAUUUCUGUUGCUUUCAUCAUAUGCAUUUUGCUGAUGUAAUGUGAUGCUUUGGCGAAAAAAAAGGAUAGGAAUAUUUUUAUCACGUAUUCAAAAAUUUAUUCCUUAAUAAACAUUUUAAUUUGAAAUAUAA